UUUUGUGGGGUGCUCGAGUGGCGAACGGGUGAGUAACACGUGAGUAACCUGCCCUUGACUUUGGGAUAACUUCAGGAAACUGGGGCUAAUACCGGAUAGGAGCCCCUGCUGCAUGGUGGGGGUUGGAAAGUUUCGGCGGUUGGGGAUGGACUCGCGGCUUAUCAGCUUGUUGGUGGGGUAGUGGCUUACCAAGGCUUUGACGGGUAGCCGGCCUGAGAGGGUGACCGGCCACAUUGGGACUGAGAUACGGCCCAG
RNAcentral lists this ribosomal RNA (255 nucleotides) under uncultured Actinomycetales bacterium. Its description in RNAcentral is "partial 16S ribosomal RNA". It matches the Rfam family "Bacterial small subunit ribosomal RNA", at positions 78 to 334 of the family's 1533-position model. The record is from RNAcentral. Lineage: Bacteria; Bacillati; Actinomycetota; Actinomycetes; Actinomycetales.